RNAcentral lists this ribosomal RNA (433 nucleotides) under uncultured bacterium. RNAcentral's name for it is "partial 16S ribosomal RNA". It matches the Rfam family "Bacterial small subunit ribosomal RNA", at positions 29 to 507 of the family's 1533-position model. The record is from RNAcentral.
AGCGAACGCUGGCGGCAGGCUUAACACAUGCAAGUCGAGCGGGCACUUCGGUGUCAGCGGCAGACGGGUGAGUAACACGUGGGAACGUACCCUUCGGUUCGGAAUAACGCUGGGAAACUAGCGCUAAUACCGGAUACGCCCUUUUGGGGAAAGGUUUACUGCCGUAGGAUCGGCCAGCGUCGGAUUAGCUAGUUGGUGGGGUAAUGGCCUACCAAGGCGACGAUCAGUAGCUGGUCUGAGAGGAUGAUUAGCCACACUGGGACUGAGACACGGCCCAGACUCCUACGGGAUGCAGCAGUGGGGAAUAUUGGACAAUGGGCGCAAGCCUGAUCCAGCCAUGCCGCGUGAGUGAUGAAGGCCUUAGGGUUGUAAAGCUCUUUUAUCCGGGACGAUAAUGACGGUACCGGAAGAAUAAGCCCCGGCUAACUUCGUG